GCGCACCAGGCGAGAAUAGUCUACAAUGGACGAAAGUCUGAUAGUGCGACGCCGUGUGUGCGAUUAAUUCCUUCGGGAUGUAAAGCACUUUUCUAUGAGAUAAAAGCUCUUUAGGUUAAUAGCUUAUUGAGACGGAUAUUAUUAUAGGAAUAAGCUCCGGCUAACUCCGUGCCAGGCAGCCGCGGUAAUACGGAAGGAGCGAGCGGUUGUCCGGAUUUACUAGGCGUAAAGGGCUAGUAGGCGACUAAUUAAGUUAUAUGUUAAAUCCACGGCUCAACUGUGGUCCUGC
RNAcentral lists this ribosomal RNA (289 nucleotides) under uncultured microorganism. RNAcentral's name for it is "partial 16S ribosomal RNA". It matches the Rfam family "Bacterial small subunit ribosomal RNA", at positions 346 to 624 of the family's 1533-position model. The record is from RNAcentral.